This is a non-coding RNA of Prunus avium (sweet cherry), 218 nucleotides long. Lineage: Eukaryota; Viridiplantae; Streptophyta; Magnoliopsida; Rosales; Rosaceae. The record is from RefSeq and is a predicted model, not a curated record.
CUGAUCAAAAGUAGUCAACUCAAAUUUGGGGUCUUGAUACAGGAUUUGGAGCUGAUCAAAAGUAGUUGCGUGCUUAUUGGCCAGGAUGGAAUAAGCCAACAAGAAUUUUCAAUCAUAAGCUUAGCAUUGAGAAUUGAUCGUAUCUGCAAUCGAUCAACUGCUUUGUCGGGAUUCCUACUUUGUUUGCUUCACUUCAUCUCCUUGAUAGUUUGUACAAU